UCUGCCCCUUGAGGUGUUGCAGUCCGACUAUGUGUUGAGCCUGUGUCAUGAGGGGCGGAGAGUAACCGGGCUAUGUCUACGCCAAGGACCCAGGACAGUGGGUACUUUGCAUGACUAUGGCGCCGAUAUU
Molecule: small nucleolar RNA, 130 nt
Filed under: Oncorhynchus kisutch (coho salmon)
Lineage: Eukaryota; Metazoa; Chordata; Actinopteri; Salmoniformes; Salmonidae
Description: Small nucleolar RNA SNORA17 (ENSOKIG00005048975.1)
Rfam family: Small nucleolar RNA SNORA17
About the family: snoRNA ACA 17 belongs to the H/ACA family of snoRNAs and is predicted to guide pseudouridylation of the 28S rRNA at positions U4659 and U4598. It shares the same host gene together with ACA43. NB This family has a high threshold value to exclude a large number of closely related sequences that do not appear to have conserved H and ACA boxes, and may be pseudogenes.
Source: Rfam by way of RNAcentral